CCUACGGGAGGCAGCAGUGGGGAAUAUUGGACAAUGGGGGCAACCCUGAUCCAGCAAUUCUGUGUGCACGAAGACGGUUUUCGGAUUGUAAAGUGCUUUCAGCAGGGAAGAAGUAAGUGACGGUACCUGCAGAAGAAGCGACGGCUAAAUACGUGCCAGCAGCCGCGGUAAUACGUAUGUCGCGAGCGUUAUCCGGAAUUAUUGGGCAUAAAGGGCAUCUAGGCGGCCUGACAAGUCAGGGGUGAAAACCUGCGGCUCAACCGCAGGCCUGCCUUUGAAACUGACAGGCUGGAGUACCGGAGAGGUGGACGGAACUGCACGAGUAGAGGUGAAAUUCGUAGAUAUGUGCAGGAAUGCCGAUGAUGAAGAUAGUUCACUGGACGGUAACUGACGCUGAAGUGCGAAAGCCGGGGGAGCGAACAGGAUUAGAUACCCUAGUAGUC
Molecule: ribosomal RNA, 443 nt
Filed under: uncultured Leptotrichia sp.
Lineage: Bacteria; Fusobacteriati; Fusobacteriota; Fusobacteriia; Fusobacteriales; Leptotrichiaceae
Description: bacterial SSU rRNA
Rfam family: Bacterial small subunit ribosomal RNA
Source: RNAcentral